Molecule: ribosomal RNA, 1132 nt
Filed under: Salinicola sp. CPA-79
Lineage: Bacteria; Pseudomonadati; Pseudomonadota; Gammaproteobacteria; Oceanospirillales; Halomonadaceae
Description: bacterial SSU rRNA
Rfam family: Bacterial small subunit ribosomal RNA
Source: RNAcentral
UGCAAGUCGAGCGGCAGCACGGGGAGCUUGCUCCCUGGUGGCGAGCGGCGGACGGGUGAGUAAUGCAUAGGAAUCUGCCCGGUAGUGGGGGAUAACCUGGGGAAACCCAGGCUAAUACCGCAUACGUCCUACGGGAGAAAGCAGGGGAUCUUCGGACCUUGCGCUAUCGGAUGAGCCUAUGUCGGAUUAGCUGGUUGGUGAGGUAAUGGCUCACCAAGGCGACGAUCCGUAGCUGGUCUGAGAGGAUGAUCAGCCACACUGGGACUGAGACACGGCCCAGACUCCUACGGGAGGCAGCAGUGGGGAAUAUUGGACAAUGGGCGCAAGCCUGAUCCAGCCAUGCCGCGUGUGUGAAGAAGGCCCUCGGGUUGUAAAGCACUUUCAGCGAGGAAGAAGGCUUGGCGGUCAAUACCCGUCAAGAAGGACAUCACUCGCAGAAGAAGCACCGGCUAACUCCGUGCCAGCAGCCGCGGUAAUACGGAGGGUGCGAGCGUUAAUCGGAAUUACUGGGCGUAAAGCGCGCGUAGGUGGUUUGGCACGCCGGUUGUGAAAGCCCCGGGCUCAACCUGGGAACGGCAUCCGGAACGGCCAGACUAGAGUGCAGGAGAGGAAGGUAGAAUUCCCGGUGUAGCGGUGAAAUGCGUAGAGAUCGGGAGGAAUACCAGUGGCGAAGGCGGCCUUCUGGCCUGACACUGACACUGAGGUGCGAAAGCGUGGGUAGCAAACAGGAUUAGAUACCCUGGUAGUCCACGCCGUAAACGAUGUCGACUAGCCGUUGGGACCUUUAAGGACUUAGUGGCGCAGUUAACGCGAUAAGUCGACCGCCUGGGGAGUACGGCCGCAAGGUUAAAACUCAAAUGAAUUGACGGGGGCCCGCACAAGCGGUGGAGCAUGUGGUUUAAUUCGAUGCAACGCGAAGAACCUUACCUACCCUUGACAUCCAGAGAACUUGGCAGAGAUGCCUUGGUGCCUUCGGGAACUCUGAGACAGGUGCUGCAUGGCUGUCGUCAGCUCGUGUUGUGAAAUGUUGGGUUAAGUCCCGUAACGAGCGCAACCCUUGUCCCUAUUUGCCAGCGAUUCGGUCGGGAACUCUAGGGAGACUGCCGGUGACAAACCGGAGGAAGGUGGGGAC